GUCCGAAUAGGGCGACAGUCGCUGGGUGUAGACCCGAAACCAGGUGAUCUACCCAUGGCCAGGAUGAAGGUGCGGUAACACGCCCUGGAGGUCCGAACCCACUAAUGUUGAAAAAUUAGGGGAUGAGCUGUGGGUAGGGGUGAAAGGCCAAUCAAACUUCGUGAUAGCUGGUUCUCUCCGAAAUGCAUUUAGGUGCAGCGUUGCGUGUUUCUUGCCGGAGGUAGAGCUACUGGAUGGCUAAUGGGCCCCACCGGGUUACUGACGUCAGCCAAACUCCGAAUGCCGGUAAGUGAGAGCGCAGCAGUGAGACUGUGGGGGAUAAGCUUCAUAGUCGAGAGGGAAACAACCCAGACCACCAACUAAGGUCCCAAAGACUACACUAAGUGGAAAACGUUGUGGGAGUGCAUAGACAGC
This 414-nucleotide ribosomal RNA is filed under the name Crypthecodinium cohnii. RNAcentral describes it as "partial Bacterial large subunit ribosomal RNA". It matches the Rfam family "Bacterial large subunit ribosomal RNA", at positions 681 to 1093 of the family's 2925-position model. Lineage: Eukaryota; Dinophyceae; Gonyaulacales; Crypthecodiniaceae. The record is from RNAcentral.